UACGAAGGUGGCAAGCGUUACUCGGAAUUACUAGGCGUAAAGGGCAGGUAGGCGGUUUUGUAAGUCGGGUGUGAAACCUCCAGGCUCAACCUGGAGACGCCACCCGAUACUGCUGUGGCUAGAGUCCGGUAGGGGAGCGUGGAAUUCCUGGUGUAGCGGUGAAAUGCGCAGAUAUCAGGAGGAACACCAGCGGCGAAGGCGGCGCUCUGGGCCGGUACUGACGCUGAGGAGCGAAAGCGUGGGGAGCAAACAGG
This 254-nucleotide ribosomal RNA is filed under the name uncultured bacterium. Its description in RNAcentral is "partial 16S ribosomal RNA". It matches the Rfam family "Bacterial small subunit ribosomal RNA", at positions 524 to 776 of the family's 1533-position model. The record is from RNAcentral.